Molecule: ribosomal RNA, 253 nt
Filed under: uncultured bacterium
Lineage: Bacteria
Description: partial 16S ribosomal RNA
Rfam family: Bacterial small subunit ribosomal RNA
Source: RNAcentral
UACGUAGGUGGCGAGCGUUGUCCGGAAUUACUGGGCGUAAAGGGCGCGUAGGCGGAUCGUUAAGUUGGACGUGAAAUACCCCGGCUCAACUGGGGGGCGACGUCCAAAACUGGCGGACUAGAGUGCACGAGAGGAAAGUAGAAUUCCCAGUGUAGCGGUGAAAUGCGUAGAUAUUGGGAGGAAUACCGGUGGCGAAGGCGGCUUUCUGGACUGUAACUGACGCUGAGGCGCGAAAGCUGGGGGAGCGAACAGG